Molecule: ribosomal RNA, 439 nt
Filed under: uncultured bacterium
Lineage: Bacteria
Description: partial 16S ribosomal RNA
Rfam family: Bacterial small subunit ribosomal RNA
Source: RNAcentral
CUACGGGUCGCAGCAGUGAGGAAUAUUGCACAAUGGGGGGAACCCUGAUGCAGCAACGCCGCGUGGAGGAUGACGCAUUUCGGUGUGUAAACUCCUUUUAUAUGUCAAGAAAAUGACGGUAGCAUAUGAAUAAGCACCGGCUAACUCCGUGCCAGCAGCCGCGGUAAUACGGAGGGUGCAAGCGUUACUCGGAAUCACUGGGCGUAAAGGACGCGUAGGCGGGUUGGAAAGUCAGGUGUGAAAUCCUACAGCUUAACUGUAGAACUGCACUUGAAACUUCUAAUCUAGAGUAUGGGAGGGGGAGAUGGAAUUAGUGGUGUAGGGGUAAAAUCCGUAGAUAUCACUAGGAAUACCUAAAGCGCAGGCGAUUUCCUGGAACAUUACUGACGCUAAGGCGUGAAAGCGUGGGGAGCAAGCAGGAUUAGAUACCCGGGUAGUC